UACGUAGGGUGCGAGCGUUGUCCGGAAUUACUGGGCGUAAAGAGCUCGUAGGUGGUUUGUCGCGUUGUUCGUGAAAACCGGGGGCUUAACCCUCGGCGUGCGGGCGAUACGGGCAGACUAGAGUACUGCAGGGGAGACUGGAAUUCCUGGUGUAGCGGUGGAAUGCGCAGAUAUCAGGAGGAACACCGGUGGCGAAGGCGGCAUCCUGGACCGGCAUUGACGCUGAGGAGCGAAAGCCAGGGGAGCAAACGGG
Molecule: ribosomal RNA, 253 nt
Filed under: uncultured bacterium
Lineage: Bacteria
Description: partial 16S ribosomal RNA
Rfam family: Bacterial small subunit ribosomal RNA
Source: RNAcentral